Molecule: ribosomal RNA, 440 nt
Filed under: uncultured bacterium
Lineage: Bacteria
Description: partial 16S ribosomal RNA
Rfam family: Bacterial small subunit ribosomal RNA
Source: RNAcentral
CCUACGGGAGGCUGCAGUGGGGAAUAUUGCACAAUGGGGGAAACCCUGAGGCAGCGACGCCGCGUGAGUGAAGAAGUAUUUCGGUACGUAAAGCCCUAUCAGCAGGGAAGAAAAUGACUGUACCGGUCUAAGAAGCCCCGGCUAACUACGUGCCAGAAGGCGCGUGAAUACGUAAGGGGCAAGCGUUAUCCGGAUUUAUUGGGUUUAAAGGGAGCGUAGACGGCAGCGCAAGUCUGGAGUGAAAUCCCAUGGAUUAACCAUGGAACUGCUUUGGAGACUGUGCAGCUAGAGUGCAGGAGAGGUAAGCGGAAUUCCUAGUGUAGCGGUGAAAUGCGUAGAUAUUAGGAGGAACACCAGUGGCGAAGGCGGCUUACUGGACUGUAACUGACGUUGAGGCUCGAGAGCAUGGGGAGCAAACAGGAUUAGAUACCCCGGUAGUC